This 66-nucleotide transfer RNA is filed under the name Sinohyriopsis cumingii. RNAcentral describes it as "Hyriopsis cumingii tRNA-Ser". Lineage: Eukaryota; Metazoa; Mollusca; Bivalvia; Unionida; Unionidae. The record is from RNAcentral.
AGAAGGGCCAGGACAAAACUUUGACUUGAAACCAAAGAACAGGACGUUCAACUCGCCCACCUUCUA